GAUGAACGCUGGCGGUGUGCCUAAUACAUGCAAGUCGAGCGAACAGACGAGGAGCUUGCUCCUCUGACGUUAGCGGCGGACGGGUGAGUAACACGUGGAUAACCUACCUAUAAGACUGGGAUAACUUCGGGAAACCGGAGCUAAUACCGGAUAACAUGUUGAACCGCAUGGUUCAACAGUGAAAGACGGUUUUGCUGUCACUUAUAGAUGGAUCCGCGCCGCAUUAGCUAGUUGGUAAGGUAACGGCUUACCAAGGCAACGAUGCGUAGCCGACCUGAGAGGGUGAUCGGCCACACUGGAACUGAGACACGGUCCAGACUCCUACGGGAGGCAGCAGUAGGGAAUCUUCCGCAAUGGGCGAAAGCCUGACGGAGCAACGCCGCGUGAGUGAAGAAGGUCUUCGGAUCGUAAAACUCUGUUAUUAGGGAAGAACAAAUGUGUAAGUAACUAUGCACGUCUUGACGGUACCUAAUCAGAAAGCCACGGCUAACUACGUG
Molecule: ribosomal RNA, 497 nt
Filed under: uncultured bacterium
Lineage: Bacteria
Description: partial 16S ribosomal RNA
Rfam family: Bacterial small subunit ribosomal RNA
Source: RNAcentral